Molecule: long non-coding RNA, 235 nt
Organism: Triticum aestivum (bread wheat)
Lineage: Eukaryota; Viridiplantae; Streptophyta; Magnoliopsida; Poales; Poaceae
Exons: 3
Source: RefSeq, a predicted model, not a curated record
AAAUGAGGAUCAUUGACUUAAAUUGGAAUUGAUACCUAGAAAACUUGGUUCUAGCUUGCCACCCCAAAAGGCAACAUAUACACAAGUAUAGACUAUAGGUAACACUGUAGGGUACAGCCUUGGGUAGUCUUAGGGUUUUCCAAGAUAUGAUAUGAUCGGGUUAUUUAUUAGAAUUGGAAAUAGCUAGACGAAUAAGUAGGCUUUAAAAGGACGAAUAAAGAUCGGAAGAGCACAC